GACGAACGCUGGCGGCGUGCCUAAUACAUGCAAGUUGAGCGCUGAAGGUUGGUACUUGUACCGACUGGAUGAGCAGCGAACGGGUGAGUAACGCGUGGGGAAUCUGCCUUUGAGCGGGGGACAACAUUUGGAAACGAAUGCUAAUACCGCAUAAAAACUUUAAACACAAGUUUUAAGUUUGAAAGAUGCAAUUGCAUCACUCAAAGAUGAUCCCGCGUUGUAUUAGCUAGUUGGUGAGGUAAAGGCUCACCAAGGCGAUGAUACAUAGCCGACCUGAGAGGGUGGUCGGCCACAUUGGGACUGAGGCACGGCCCAAACUCCUACGGGAGGCAGCAGUAGGGGAUCUUCGGCAAUGGACGAAAGUCUGACCGAGCAACGCCGCGUGAGUGAAGAAGGUUUUCGGAUCGUAAAACUCUGUUGGUAGAGAAGAACGUUGGUGAGAGUGGAAAGCUCAUCAAGUGACGGUAACUACCCAGAAAGGGACGGCUAACUACGUG
Molecule: ribosomal RNA, 497 nt
Filed under: uncultured bacterium
Lineage: Bacteria
Description: partial 16S ribosomal RNA
Rfam family: Bacterial small subunit ribosomal RNA
Source: RNAcentral